UUCAGGAAUAAUGUAAGAAGCAGCCUAUUUAUUUAUAUAUUUAUUUUAUUAUUUACUCCUUUUCAGUAUUGAUGCUUCGUUGGACGAUGGGUCCCUAGGAAGGCUUGUUAAUGAUGAUUCAAACCCCAAUGCCAAAAUGAGAAAAAUUGUACUUCAUGAUCUCCCCCAUUUAUGCCUAUUUGCUAUUAAAGACAUUUAAAAAGAUGAAGAAAUCACGUACGAUUACGGAGGAACUGGUUUGCCAUGGCGUGUUUAUACAAAGAAAAGGUCAAAAAACAAGUCCUCUAUGGAGCCCACUCCUGCCCAUGAAUCAGCUCCAGAUCCCACUCCCACCCAAGAACAUGCUGUAGAAUCUGCUCCAACCCAUGAGCCUUCUGCACGUACAUUACCCCAUGAGGCCACUCCAGUGCGUGAUCCAGCCCAUUGGCACCCUACAGAAUUCACUCAAACCCAUGAGCCUGCUCU
This is a long non-coding RNA of Megalobrama amblycephala (Wuchang bream), 465 nucleotides long. RefSeq lists it as uncharacterized. NCBI's taxonomy places the organism in Eukaryota, Metazoa, Chordata, Actinopteri, Cypriniformes, Xenocyprididae. The transcript has 3 exons. The record is from RefSeq and is a predicted model, not a curated record.